RNAcentral lists this ribosomal RNA (484 nucleotides) under uncultured bacterium. RNAcentral's name for it is "partial 16S ribosomal RNA". It matches the Rfam family "Bacterial small subunit ribosomal RNA", at positions 28 to 523 of the family's 1533-position model. The record is from RNAcentral.
GACGAACGCUGGCGGCGUGCUUAACACAUGCAAGUCGAACGAUGAAGCCGGAGCUUGCUCUGGUGAAUUAGUGGCGAACGGGUGAGUAACACGUGAGUAACCUGCCCUUGACUCUGGGAUAACUGCUAGAAAUGGUAGCUAAUACCGGAUACGACCCUCGGAGGCAUCUUCAGGGGGUGGAAAGAAUUUCGGUCAAGGAUGGACUCGCGGCCUAUCAGCUAGUUGGUGAGGUAAUGGCUCACCAAGGCGACGACGGGUAGCCGGCCUGAGAGGGUGCCCGGACACACAGGGACUGAGACACGGCCCAGACUCCUACGGGAGGCAGCAGUGGGGAAUAUUGCACAAUGGGCGCAAGCCUGAUGCAGCAACGCCGCGUGAGGGAUGACGGCCUUCGGGUUGUAAACCUCUUUUAGUAGGGAAGAAGCGAAAGUGACGGUACCUGCAGAAAAAGCACCGGCUAACUACGUGCCAGCCGCCGCCGUAA